This 450-nucleotide ribosomal RNA is filed under the name uncultured bacterium. RNAcentral describes it as "partial 16S ribosomal RNA". It matches the Rfam family "Bacterial small subunit ribosomal RNA", at positions 354 to 796 of the family's 1533-position model. The record is from RNAcentral.
GUGGGGAAUUUUGGACAAUGGGCGCAAGCCUGAUCCAGCAAUGCCGCGUGCAGGAAGAAGGCCUUCGGGUUGUAAACUGCUUUUGUACGGAACGAAACGGUCCUGGCUAAUAUCCGGGGCUAAUGACGGUACCGUAAGAAUAAGCACCGGCUAACUACGUGCCAGCAGCCGCGGUAAUACGUAGGGUGCGAGCGUUAAUCGGAAUUACUGGGCGUAAAGCGUGCGCAGGCGGUGCUGUAAGACAGGCGUGAAAUCCCCGGGCUCAACCUGGGAAUUGCGCUUGGGACUGCAGUGCUGGAGUGCGGCAGAGGGGGAUGGAAUUCCGCGUGUAGCAGUGAAAUGCGUAGAUAUGCGGAGGAACACCGAUGGCGAAGGCAAUCCCCUGGGCCUGCACUGACGCUCAUGCACGAAAGCGUGGGGAGCAAACAGGAUUAGAUACCCGAGUAGUCC